UACGUAGGGGGCAAGCGUUGUCCGGAAUCAUUGGGCGUAAAGAGCGUGUAGGCGGCUUGGUAAGUCCGCUGUGAAAGUCCAGGGCUCAACCCUGGAAAGCCGGUGGAAACUGUCAAGCUUGAGUCCGGAAGAGGCGAGUGGAAUUCCUGGUGUAGCGGUGAAAUGCGCAGAUAUCAGGAGGAACACCAAUGGCGAAGGCAGCUCUCUGGGACGGUACUGACGCUGAGACGCGAAAGCGUGGGGAGCGAACAGG
This 253-nucleotide ribosomal RNA is filed under the name uncultured bacterium. RNAcentral describes it as "partial 16S ribosomal RNA". It matches the Rfam family "Bacterial small subunit ribosomal RNA", at positions 524 to 776 of the family's 1533-position model. The record is from RNAcentral.